UCUUUUUUCUUUUUUUAUAAAAAUUUCCCCUUGUUUUCCUGUAUUGUGCUUCCUGGAGCUGCCUGAAGCCCAGAUGCCGGAGCCUCACAGAGGAGACAACAGAACUCAGAUUUAUCUGAGCCUCCCGAUGGGGGGAGAGCCAGACGAACCACUUGACCCAAGGGAUUUGGCGGCCAUGAUACAGAAAAAUUAAAUUUCAUCCUCAUGGCACAUAUGCAGGUCUGCCUGCAAGUGGAAGCUCCUUCCAUGGCAUAAGUAGUUGAAACUGCUGCCCGUUUGUGAAAUUAUCAGUUCAGAUAUCAUUACAGUUUGUGAAUUAUGAUUGCAUAAAACUGUUGGUUAAUGCCUCUUUGGGAACUCAAAACAUUUGAUUUGUGCUUA
This is a long non-coding RNA of Quercus robur (English oak), 381 nucleotides long. RefSeq lists it as uncharacterized. The record is from RefSeq and is a predicted model, not a curated record. The transcript is spliced from 2 exons. Lineage: Eukaryota; Viridiplantae; Streptophyta; Magnoliopsida; Fagales; Fagaceae.